Molecule: unclassified non-coding RNA, 21 nt
Filed under: Chlamydomonas reinhardtii
Lineage: Eukaryota; Viridiplantae; Chlorophyta; Chlorophyceae; Chlamydomonadales; Chlamydomonadaceae
Description: small RNA Cre_1268
Source: RNAcentral
CGCGGCUGGCGCGCCUGGAGG